AACAUGAGGACACAUGUCAACAAACCCCCCCUUUCCACAUGUCAUAAGAAAGGAAAAAGCCAUUUUUAUAUAUAAAGAUUGAAAAGGAGGGCUCUGGUCGACUAAUCGUCAUGCUAUCUCCAAUGAAUAAUGUGAAUCCUCAACUGCUUCUGUCUGAGUUAAAGGCUGGUCGGUAUAAGAAAUUUGUUGUUGCCCUUCUCCUCAGUUUUUGGGACGCAGAAAGUUGGAGAGAGCUUAUGGUUCUGGUUGAUUAGAAGGUAUGUUAUCUUUACUGAAUCAGUUGUUUCGAAAACUCAUUGUUGGAAAAGUGAUUUGUAACGUUUGAUUGUCAGAGUAUUGCUCUAUUUUUCAAGUGAUUUUGAGUUUCAAUUUUAGCGUCUAUUUCUAGGACUCUAAUGUGGGUUUGCUGUUUGAUUUGCUUCCAAUUUUAGGGGGAAACUCUGGCGUUCUUGAAGGCAAAAGUGUAAGGAAAGACUGAUAAUAUUAGUUGCUCCAAAAGUGUAUUCUAAGUAUCGAUGUUAAUCAUGUCUUUUUUUUAUAAAGGGCGGCUGUAUUCCUUGGUUACUGAAGCUAAUGACAAAUGAACUCUAUCAAUUAGCCGCUGUUGCGUUUUGUCUACUCCUAACUUGGGGGUCAUGAUAUCAACUAGGGAUCUCGAUAAACAUACAUUGGGCAAGUAAGUUGUGAUCAUGUAUUACCAAAAAGACUGCUUGCAUCUACUUGUCUCUUUUUUCAUCUCUCAGAACUGUUUUCUGUGUUCUCUCUGAUUUAAUUUGAUCAUAGUCGAGGUUCUCAUAGCAAGGUGAAUGUUAUGUCUAGCCUAGAAAGUAAUCAGUUGACAAGUAUGUAAUGUUAUACCCUUAAAGAGUCCAUAGACUGACCCAUGUGCUUUAUAUUUUGAUUCAGAUCGAACCAUCCUAAUAUGUUGUAUUAAACACUAUCGCAGACAUUUCCGAAAGAAUUUAUGUUUAUGUGUCAUGGGGCUGGUUGAUUCUUUAUUUGGAAAAGUUCCAAGGACGAUGCUUGCCGUAUGAGAGUGAUGUUGUGUUUGUGGUUGUCCUUAUGCUAAUUUUCUUCUUAAGUUUUGUACACCGAGUGACUGUUGAAGUUAUGUAUACGAAUGAACUUUAGUGAGUAUGAUCAACCAAGAAAACAAAGUCGAAGAUGGUGGUGAUGAGAAACCCAAAUCUGAAGUAAAAGAGACUAGAAACUCAAGGCAUAGAAGAGACGAAGACGAGGAUGGUCGAUGAUCUAAGCCGCCGAGGUCGCACUAUCGUUCACGAUCUAGAGAUAGAGAGGGAUAUGCAUAGAAGUAUCCGGGAGCAAAGAGACAAGAGAGUUGAUAGAGAUCGCAAGAAGGGUAGACAUAUAGAAGAAUUAAACUUCUUGGUUUUUUUUUUUACACUGCAGAAUUAGGUAAAUAAAUCAUUCUUAUCUCCAUUUCUUUCCUUCCCCAUUCAUUUCAACAAAAUUCCAUGAAAUGCAGAGAUUUCACUUUAUACACAAAUGCUGCUAUACCCUCUUCACAUUGUCUCUAUUAAUCAAUUGUUCAGUUACAUGGGGUUGAGUGGAUCAUCAAGGAUUAUCAGAUGUUUGAUGAAUUUCUUUGGAAGAAAAUGACCUGACUCCUGUUUGUUUUGUAUUUUAUAUGGUUUUCUGGUUUAUAAGGAUGAACUGAGGAAAAAGCUCAACUCUCUAUUCAGUGAGCUUAAAACGUCAGGAGCCAAAAUGGCAACAAACAUUUUUUGCGCUGUUGUUAAUAUGUCAUUCAACCUUGUGUCCCAUCAGCCAUCAAUGAAAUUGUAUCUGGUUCGGUUCGGACAAUGCAAAAUUGUUUUCAGACUGA
Brassica napus (rape) is the source of this 1846-nucleotide long non-coding RNA. RefSeq lists it as uncharacterized. NCBI's taxonomy places the organism in Eukaryota, Viridiplantae, Streptophyta, Magnoliopsida, Brassicales, Brassicaceae. The record is from RefSeq and is a predicted model, not a curated record. The transcript has 3 exons.